This 2527-nucleotide long non-coding RNA is filed under the name Monomorium pharaonis (pharaoh ant). RNAcentral's name for it is "uncharacterized LOC118644489". Lineage: Eukaryota; Metazoa; Arthropoda; Insecta; Hymenoptera; Formicidae. The record is from RNAcentral.
AAGAAUGCUAUUAGCACUAUCCGCAUCAGUCUAUUCGUCUACUAAAUGUUGAUUACUUCUUCAUUUAUUAAAACAAUAAUAUUCUAAAUAUGUUAUGUAUAAUUUAUAUAUUAAUAUAUGUAUUUACGUAUUAAUUUUUAAUAACAUUAAUAUUUUUUUAAGUAAUGAUAAAUAUUAAUCCAGUAGUCUUUCUUAACAUUGUUAUUAUCAGUCACAUUUUAAUAUCACAGUACUUAACAUAAGCUGCAUUACUAUCAAUUAAACGAAUAAUGAACUCGGUAUUUCAUAAUUAUGACAUUUAUUAUAUCGAUUUAAACUACAUUUGAAAACAAUUAUUAUUAUAACUCGUUUGGAGAUGUGACUUUGACACGAUUCUUACAAUAGUUUUAUUGAUCUUCAAGAUAAAUUGCAUCAAAAUAUAUGAAGAAAACGUAGUCUGAUCUAUUGGCACUCACGAUUUGGAUACAAUUAAAGGUCCAUUUUUAUAUGAUGCUAGACACCAUAAAAAAUACGGUUCAAACCACUUAAUCAAAAUAAAAUGUAUACAAGAGAAGAAAUUAUGCAGUUAUAUGCAGUAAGUUUUUGCUCUUUUUCUCAUUAUGUUUGUAAAUUCUGUAAGUAAUUGCAAUGUAAUCAAACGGUCCCUUUUUUAAAUCUCCAUUCUGGAAGACCAAAGAUUUGUCUCAUACAAAUUAUAUGAAUUUAAAAUCUGUGUAUAAAAUCAAAUUUACAAUCUGUCAUUUACGAGUUCGUUGUUACAGCCAUACAUUAAGAUUCCAAUUAAUGAAAAUAAUCCUACAUGUAGAAAAUGAUUAAUACAUAUUCAUGUCUAGCUACGUUUGCAGAUACAUGCGCACUUAAACAGUAUUUACUAAUCAUAAAAGUCAGUCCUGUUUAUUCUAUUAUAUAUGGUAAUGGAGUUGUUUUAUCUUUGUCUCCUAUCAUUAAUGGAAGUCAUUCAAAGAUCACACUUAAUACAAAAAAUAUUUUUAUCGAGUGCACAGCAACUGAUCUUACAAAGACAAAGAUAGCGGUAGAUAUUUUAGUUUGUGCAUUCAGUUAGUAUCGCAAGACGAAAUAUACAAUCGAAAUUGUAGAAGUAGUAUACAGAUAAUCAAACCUUCUAUUAUCCAAAAUUAAAAUAUCGAACGGAAGAAAUCAGUUGCAAUAAAGCGAUUAAUUACAUUGACAUUGAGUACGUGAUCGCACCUUUUCCAUCAUGCACGUAGAAUAAUGAUUACGAGAUGACAGUUGCUGCUACCAACUAACAAGGGACCGAGAAAUUUCAAUCGCAGCACUUGCAGUUGCAACAUUUAAAAGGUGAAAUAAACUCUGCAAUUAUAUUCAGCCUUUCCAUAAUUGACGUAUGUUACAAUAUACACUUAAUCUUGCUACUUAUUUUAAUGAUACAGCUAACUAGAUCAGGCGAACAAGAAAAUCACAUAGGGUGAGAAGUCGCUUCAUCUGACGCCUGACGGUAUCUCUUGAUAACAUAGUCGAUUAGUUUGUUUAAUGGCUGAUUUUGACAAGCAUGAAUUACUACGUGGUUCGUUACCACGAAUCACUUGAAAGAAGAGAAAGAAAAAUAGAAUACUCAGUAUUAUAGGCCAUAUUAGUCUUCUUCAACGUUUUAAUUGAAAAGACGAUUUUGUGCUGAAAAAAAAUUACGUUAACAAUCUUUUGUAAUUUAAUAAAAUAAUAAAAAAGAAAUUAAACAAAAAAUUGAUUACUUUAAUCUUCUCUCGAAAUAAAUAUUUUCAUUAUCAAAAACUUCGGGAGAAAUUGCCUCCACCUCUUCUUCUCUUUCCUUUACGUCCGUCAUACGCUGUUUAGAUGCCGUUUCGUUAUCGCUUGUUACAUAAUUUAUUGUACUUUGGCUGUUUGAAUAACUCAGUCGCGUGUUAUUUUCUUCCCUCGAGCUACGACAAAAUUCAGUUCAAAAAUACUUGUUCGAAAAUAUCCCAUAAUUCAUUAAUGCUAUUGGAGAUUUAAUUAAAAAAUAUUUUUUAAACACUCAAUAAAGAUUUCUUUUGAAUUUUUUAAUAAACAUUUGAUAGUUAAAGAUUCUUACAGUACUAAUAUGUAAAAAAGGAUACCUUAAUGGUACAGUCAUAAAUAUGUAUCUCGUAUACAAUCAAUGUUUCAUCUAUUUAAAGUAAUUUAAAAAAUGUAAAAAUUCAUAAACAUACAUUUUUAGGUUUUUAGAACAAAUACAUGCACUUUGAAAAAAAAAGUAUAAUUAUAUUUAUAAUAAUUUAUUAUAAUAAUUUAAUUAUCGAAGUUUAUAUCAUAUAAUGAUUGUAUCGUAAGGAUUAAUACACAUUUAAAAUACUAGCGCAAGAUAUUUAUAAAAAGAAACGUAAGUCCGUAAGUCCACAAUAAUAUUACUAACUCGAUACAUAUCUAGGUUUUCGAUCUCUUAUUUCGGCGAUUCGGAGCUGAAAGAUAGCCUCCUGCAAGUUAUACAUCCAGAAACAGAAUUUCGCUGUCUUACGGUGUGUUCUGUAUACAGCACAAGACAAAAAAA